ACAGCAGUCGCCGCGGGAAUACGUAGGUGGCAAGCGUUGUCCGGAAUUAUUGGGCGUAAAGGGCUCGCAGGCGGUUUCUUAAGUCUGAUGUGAAAGCCCCCGGCUCAACCGGGGAGGGUCAUUGGAAACUGGGAAACUUGAGUGCAGAAGAGGAGAGUGGAAUUCCACGUGUAGCGGUGAAAUGCGUAGAGAUGUGGAGGAACACCAGUGGCGAAGGCGACUCUCUGGUCUGUAACUGACGCUGAGGAGCGAAAGCGUGGGGAGCGAACAGGAUUAGAUACCCCGGUAGUCCCUGUCUCUUAUAC
This 305-nucleotide ribosomal RNA is filed under the name uncultured bacterium. RNAcentral's name for it is "partial 16S ribosomal RNA". It matches the Rfam family "Bacterial small subunit ribosomal RNA", at positions 508 to 807 of the family's 1533-position model. The record is from RNAcentral.